RNAcentral lists this transfer RNA (72 nucleotides) under Neotoma lepida (desert woodrat). It matches the Rfam family "tRNA". Rfam says of the family: Transfer RNA (tRNA) molecules are approximately 80 nucleotides in length. Their secondary structure includes four short double-helical elements and three loops (D, anti-codon, and T loops). Lineage: Eukaryota; Metazoa; Chordata; Mammalia; Rodentia; Cricetidae. The record is from Rfam by way of RNAcentral.
UGGGAUAUAUCUCAGUUGUAGAAUGCUUGUCUGUUAUACAGGAGGCCCUAGGCUCAAUCCCUAGUACCACAC